RNAcentral lists this unclassified non-coding RNA (432 nucleotides) under soil metagenome. RNAcentral describes it as "partial contains 5.8S ribosomal RNA, internal transcribed spacer 2, and large subunit ribosomal RNA". The stretch from base 1 to 120 matches the Rfam family "5.8S ribosomal RNA", at positions 35 to 154 of the family's 154-position model. The record is from RNAcentral.
GAUGAAGAACGUAGUGAAAUGCGAUACGUAAUGUGAAUUGCAGAAUUCAGUGAAUCAUCGAAUCUUUGAACGCAUAUUGCGCUCUCUGGUAUUCCGGAGAGCAUGCUUGUUUGAGUAUCAGUAAACACCUCAACUUCCAUAUCUUUUUUGAAAUGGGAGUUGGACUUGAGUGAUCCCAACGCUUUUCCUCACCGAAAAGUGGCGGGUUACUUGAAAUGCAGGUGCAGCUGGACUUUUCUCUGAGCUAUAAGCAUAUCUAUUUAGUCUGCCUAAAAAACAGAUUAUUACCUUUGCUGCAGCUAACAUAAAGGAGAUUAGUUCUUGUGCUGACUGAUGCAGGAUUCACAAAGACGGCUUCGGCCGACUUUGUAAACUCGAUCUCAAAUCAAGUAAGACUACCCGCGGAACUUAAGCAUAUCAAUAAGCGGAGGA